GGAGGGUGCAAGCGUUAAUCGGAAUUACUGGGCGUAAAGCGCACGCAGGCGGUUUGUUAAGUCAGAUGUGAAGUCCCCGGGCUCAACCUGGGAACUGCAUCUGAUACUGGCAAGCUUGAGUCUCGUAGAGGGGGGUAGAAUUCCAGGUGUAGCGGUGAAAUGCGUAGAGAUCUGGAGGAAUACCGGUGGCGAAGGCGGCCCCCUGGACGAAGACUGACGCUCAGGUGCGAAAGCGUGGGGAGCAAACAGGGAUUAGAUACCCUGGUAGUCCACGCCGUAAACGAUGUCGACUUGGAGGUUGUGCCCUUGAGGCGUGGCUUCCGGAGCUAACGCGCUAAGUCGACCGCCUGGGGAGUACGGCCGCAAGGUUA
This 371-nucleotide ribosomal RNA is filed under the name uncultured organism. Its description in RNAcentral is "partial 16S ribosomal RNA". It matches the Rfam family "Bacterial small subunit ribosomal RNA", at positions 527 to 896 of the family's 1533-position model. The record is from RNAcentral.